Molecule: long non-coding RNA, 1082 nt
Organism: Zeugodacus cucurbitae (melon fly)
Lineage: Eukaryota; Metazoa; Arthropoda; Insecta; Diptera; Tephritidae
Exons: 3
Source: RefSeq, a predicted model, not a curated record
CAGUACGGCUGGUAUGAAUUGGUGAAUUGCACUAGUGAAUUCUUGUGUUACAAGUAACUAGAGAAUUCACGACAACGAGGUAAUGCAGAGAAGCAAUAGUACAUGAGAGAGAUUGAGAGAGAAGAGAGCAUGAUCUAGAGAACGUUGUGCUUAAUUUGUACUCUCAGUAGAAUAUUACCGACAAAUAAGGGUGGGAAUGCAAUUUUGAGAGAUCGAAGCAAAAAUAACGCAGAAUAAUAACGGCAGAGCAUCUCGUACAGUAAGUACAAGUUGUAAAUAAUUAUUGGAUCAUUAUAGUAUUUACGUACAAGUUGGUCAUUGAAAGCAUGAUUUACUGUAGUAGAAAGAAAGGCAUCAGCGUUUUCUUUGUAAUUCUGAUAUUUCAUUUUUCGCAUAAUAGUUGUUCUCUGAUUGUACAAUUGAUCUCGCGUCGCGGGUUCUAAUACGUUUAUUGUUUAUUAAAAGUGUUAUUAAAAGGUGAAUAAUUAAAUGAAAUAAUAGUGAAUAAAAACAAAGAAAACAUAAAUAUUUUAUGCAAAAAAAUGGAUUGCCCUGCACAAUGAAAAGAGAUCAACACCAAAUUUUAAUGGAACUCUUAGAAAUGUGACUUGGGGAUAUAAGUGCAGUGAUAUAUAUGUCGCUUUUGAAUCCAGCCGAAGUGCACAAAAACUUCUGACUUGACUGAUAUUAACCGACCCUGUUGUUCAGAUGGUAAAUAUAAUUGUAAACAAAGAAAUUUUAAAUAAAAAAUAAUAUUGUUAAUUAUAUAAAAUUUAAAUAGAAUUUGUGUUUAAUUAUGUUUGGAAUAAACUAGCUAGGUUGAGAGGUAGUGAAGAAAGUAGUGAAAUUUAAUAGUCGGUAAGUUGUGAAGUAACUAAUGAUAUAUAGUCAGUGAUAUGUGGUGAAGUAGCUAGUGAAAUAUAGGCGGUGAAAUCACUCGUGAAUAGUGUUAAUCGGUUACCGCCAAUGACAUCGCCGUGUUAAAUUCAUGAGUGAAUUGCAUUGCCGGUAUUAUGGUGGGUAACCAGUGGUGGUUACCAGUAAGUAGUGAACUCACUAGUGUUUCACUAAUGAGCCGAACU